Molecule: long non-coding RNA, 667 nt
Organism: Austrofundulus limnaeus
Lineage: Eukaryota; Metazoa; Chordata; Actinopteri; Cyprinodontiformes; Rivulidae
Exons: 4
Source: RefSeq, a predicted model, not a curated record
CUCUUGAACCAGGACUGGACCAGGACUCUUGAACCAGGACUGGACCAGGACUCUUGAACCAGGACUGGACCAGGACUCUUGAACCAGGACUACAAGCCUUUCAGAGAACGUGGAGCUCCAUCCAUCAGGCUCAGCCAGCCAACAUGGCCUCCAGCCUUUGGACUCGGACCUCUCUCAAGCUGAGACGGGGGCCGGCGUGACGCUCAGAGGAGCUGCUGCUCUGACAGGCAGCGGCGCCGAGACACUGAUGGUUUUUGUCAAGCUGAGGCGGUAAAACGCUGCAGCGACCCAUAAAUAUUGAAGCUGCCCAGAGGCCGCUGACCCGCUCRGGAUGAUGGUGUCUAAAGGUCCGCUCUGAGAGAGGACAGGAGGAAGAAGGUCAGGGCUGCUGCAUCUGAUGAAGUGCUGCCAACAGAUGUGGAUGCAAGAGGCAAUGCGACCCCAGGGUGAUCAGAACAAUAAAAUGCUUCAUGUUCAGCUCUAAAGCUCCUGAUGUAGACGUGUUUCAGGUGACUAUCAGACACCUGUAGGUCCUCUAGAUCUAAUACCUAAUACAUGUGCAUCCUUUUUGUCUCUAUGUCCCCUUGAUGCAUCCUUUUUGUCUCUAUGUCCCCUUGAUGCAUCCUUUUUGUCUCUAUGUCCCCUUGAUGCAUCCUUUUUGUCUCUA